ACGGAGGGGGUUAGCGUUGUUCGGAAUUAAUGGGCGUAAAGCGUACGUAGGCGGAUUAAUAAGUUAGAGGUGAAAUCCCAGGGCUCAACCCUGGAACUGCCUUUAAAACUGUUAGUCUUGAGAUCGAGAGAGGUGAGUGGAAUUCCAAGUGUAGAGGUGAAAUUCGUAGAUAUUUGGAGGAACACCAGUGGCGAAGGCGGCUCACUGGCUCGAUACUGACGCUGAGGUACGAAAGUGUGGGGAGCAAACAGG
RNAcentral lists this ribosomal RNA (252 nucleotides) under uncultured bacterium. RNAcentral describes it as "partial 16S ribosomal RNA". It matches the Rfam family "Bacterial small subunit ribosomal RNA", at positions 525 to 776 of the family's 1533-position model. The record is from RNAcentral.